AUACUUUAGCAGCACAUAUACUAAAAGUGGAAUGACACAGAGAAGAUUAGCAUAGUUCCUGUGCAAAGAUAUUGCAAAUUUGUGAAAUUUCUCAGAAGAGA
Molecule: small nuclear RNA, 101 nt
Filed under: Octodon degus (degu)
Lineage: Eukaryota; Metazoa; Chordata; Mammalia; Rodentia; Octodontidae
Source: RNAcentral